Molecule: ribosomal RNA, 404 nt
Filed under: uncultured Strombidiidae
Lineage: Eukaryota; Ciliophora; Spirotrichea; Strombidiidae
Description: partial small subunit ribosomal RNA
Rfam family: Eukaryotic small subunit ribosomal RNA
Source: RNAcentral
GCUUGUCUCAAAGAUUAAGCCAUGCAUGUCUAAGUGUAAAUAAGUCUAUACUGUGAAACUGCGAAUGGCUCAUUAAAUCAGUUAUCGUUUAUUUGAUGAUCUCUUACUACUUGGAUAACCGUAGUAAUUCUAGAGCUAAUACAUGCUGGCGUGCCCGACUUUUGCGGAAGGGCGGUAUUUAUUAGAUAACAAGCCAAUAUUCCUCCGGGUCUAUUGUGGUGAUUCAUAAUAACUGAUCGAAUCGCAAGGCCUUUGGCCGCGAUAAGUCAUUCAAGUUUCUGCCCCAUCAGCUUUCGAUGGUAGUGUAUUGGACUACCAUGGCGUUCACGGGUAACGGAGAAUUAGGGUUCGAUUCCGGAGAGGGAGCCUGAGAAACGGCUACCACAUCUAAGGAAGGCAGCAGG